RNAcentral lists this ribosomal RNA (229 nucleotides) under Myxozyma neglecta. Its description in RNAcentral is "partial small subunit ribosomal RNA". It matches the Rfam family "Bacterial small subunit ribosomal RNA", at positions 524 to 779 of the family's 1533-position model. Lineage: Eukaryota; Fungi; Ascomycota; Lipomycetes; Lipomycetales; Lipomycetaceae. The record is from RNAcentral.
GACGAGGCGGGCAAGCGUUAAUCAAUCUUAAUAGGUCUAAAGGGUUAGUAGGCUGUUUAAUUAACUAUAUCUACAAGUAUAGUAUUAUUAAACUAGAGUUUUAUAUAAGGUAUUAGUAUUUAUUAUGUAAAGGUCGAAUUUAGAUAUAAUAAAGACUUUCUUAUGUUAAAUCAUCUAUCUAUAUAAUAACUGACGCUGAGGAACUAAAGCUAGGGUCGCCAAGCGGAUU